RNAcentral lists this ribosomal RNA (250 nucleotides) under uncultured bacterium. Its description in RNAcentral is "partial 16S ribosomal RNA". It matches the Rfam family "Bacterial small subunit ribosomal RNA", at positions 1243 to 1500 of the family's 1533-position model. The record is from RNAcentral.
AGGGAUGCUACCGGGCGACCGGAUGCGGAUCUCGAAAGACCUGUCCCAGUUCGGACUGGAGUCUGCAACCCGACUCCACGAAGUUGGAUUCGCUAGUAAUCGCGCAUCAGCCAUGGCGCGGUGAAUACGUUCCCGGGCCUUGUACACACCGCCCGUCAAGCCAUGGGAGCCGGGGGCGCCUGAAGUCCGGGACCGCGAGGACCGGCCUAGGGCGAAACUGGUAACUGGGGCUAAGUCGUAACAAGGUACC